GAUGAACGCUGGCGGCGUGCUUAAUACAUGCAAGUCGAGCGAGCAGAUGUGAAGAGAUUCUCCGGAAGGAUUGUAAAAUGGAAAGCGGUGGACGGGAGAUUAACUCGUAGUCAACCUGCGCCAUACAAAGGGAUAGCAUUCGGAAACGAAUAUUAAUACCUUAUGAAACUUAUCUAGAGCAUGCUAGGUAUGUGAAAGCUUUUUCGGAUUGGGAUGGGCCUGCGUCUGCUUAUCUAGAUGUUGAGGUAACGGCGAACCAAGGCGACGAUCAGACGCCGUGCAGAGGAGGUGAACUGCCAAAUUGGACGUGAGACACGGGCCAAACUCCUUCGGGAGGCAGCGGUAGGGUAUAGUGCACAAUCGGCGUAAGUCAUAUGCAGCAUCGGCGCGUGAACGAUGGAGGCCUUUGGGUCGUAAAGUUCUGUUCUAGGUGGUGAAAACUGACGGUAACCUAGGAGAAAGCCCCGGCUAACUCCGUG
Molecule: ribosomal RNA, 479 nt
Filed under: uncultured bacterium
Lineage: Bacteria
Description: partial 16S ribosomal RNA
Rfam family: Bacterial small subunit ribosomal RNA
Source: RNAcentral